This is a small nuclear RNA of Nannospalax galili (Upper Galilee mountains blind mole rat), 103 nucleotides long. The record is from Ensembl. NCBI's taxonomy places the organism in Eukaryota, Metazoa, Chordata, Mammalia, Rodentia, Spalacidae.
GCUCACUUUGGCAGCAUAUACUAAAACUGGAAUGAUACAGAGAUUAUUAGCACAGCUGCUGGGAAAGGAUGACAUGCAACUUCGUGACGCAUUGCAUAUUCUU